RNAcentral lists this ribosomal RNA (928 nucleotides) under Escherichia coli. Its description in RNAcentral is "partial 23S ribosomal RNA". It matches the Rfam family "Bacterial large subunit ribosomal RNA", at positions 978 to 1890 of the family's 2925-position model. The record is from RNAcentral. Lineage: Bacteria; Pseudomonadati; Pseudomonadota; Gammaproteobacteria; Enterobacterales; Enterobacteriaceae.
CGGGAGACACACGGCGGGUGCUAACGUCCGUCGUGAAGAGGGAAACAACCCAGACCGCCAGCUAAGGUCCCAAAGUCAUGGUUAAGUGGGAAACGAUGUGGGAAGGCCCAGACAGCCAGGAUGUUGGCUUAGAAGCAGCCAUCAUUUAAAGAAAGCGUAAUAGCUCACUGGUCGAGUCGGCCUGCGCGGAAGAUGUAACGGGGCUAAACCAUGCACCGAAGCUGCGGCAGCGACGCUUAUGCGUUGUUGGGUAGGGGAGCGUUCUGUAAGCCUGUGAAGGUGUGCUGUGAGGCAUGCUGGAGGUAUCAGAAGUGCGAAUGCUGACAUAAGUAACGAUAAAGCGGGUGAAAAGCCCGCUCGCCGGAAGACCAAGGGUUCCUGUCCAACGUUAAUCGGGGCAGGGUGAGUCGACCCCUAAGGCGAGGCCGAAAGGCGUAGUCGAUGGGAAACAGGUUAAUAUUCCUGUACUUGGUGUUACUGCGAAGGGGGGACGGAGAAGGCUAUGUUGGCCGGGCGACGGUUGUCCCGGUUUAAGCGUGUAGGCUGGUUUUCCAGGCAAAUCCGGAAAAUCAAGGCUGAGGCGUGAUGACGAGGCACUACGGUGCUGAAGCAACAAAUGCCCUGCUUCCAGGAAAAGCCUCUAAGCAUCAGGUAACAUCAAAUCGUACCCCAAACCGACACAGGUGGUCAGGUAGAGAAUACCAAGGCGCUUGAGAGAACUCGGGUGAAGGAACUAGGCAAAAUGGUGCCGUAACUUCGGGAGAAGGCACGCUGAUAUGUAGGUGAAGCGACUUGCUCGUGGAGCUGAAAUCAGUCGAAGAUACCAGCUGGCUGCAACUGUUUAUUAAAAACACAGCACUGUGCAAACACGAAAGUGGACGUAUACGGUGUGACGCCUGCCCGGUGCCGGAAGGUUAAUUGAUGGGGU